RNAcentral lists this ribosomal RNA (225 nucleotides) under uncultured bacterium. RNAcentral describes it as "partial 16S ribosomal RNA". It matches the Rfam family "Bacterial small subunit ribosomal RNA", at positions 109 to 334 of the family's 1533-position model. The record is from RNAcentral.
AGUAACACGUGAGCAAUCUGCCCUUCACUUCGGGAUAACUCCGGGAAACCGGUGCUAAUACCGAAUACGACCACUUCACGCAUGUGAUGGUGGUGGAAAGUUCUGGCGGUGGAGGAUGAGCUCGCGGCCUAUCAGCUUGUUGGUGGGGUAAUGGCCCACCAAGGCAACGACGGGUAGCCGGCCUGAGAGGGUGACCGGCCACACUGGGACUGAGACACGGCCCAG